This 5453-nucleotide long non-coding RNA is filed under the name Sus scrofa (pig). Its description in RNAcentral is "lncRNA (ENSSSCG00000052902.1, ENSSSCG00025077735.1)". The record is from RNAcentral. Lineage: Eukaryota; Metazoa; Chordata; Mammalia; Artiodactyla; Suidae.
ACCCUUGGCAUGUAGAGGUUCCCAGGCUAGAGGUCCAAUCGGAGCUACAGCCACUGGCCUACACCACAGCCAAAGCAAUGCCAGAGUUGAGCCGCAUCUGUGACCUACACCAAAGCUCGUGGCAAUGCCAGAUCCUUAACCCACUGAGCAAAGCCAGGGAUCGAACCUGCAACCUCAUGGUUCCUAGUGGAUUUGUUUCCACUGCACCACGAUGGGAACUUAAACUGCUAUCUUAAAUAAAUAAAGAUAACAAAAGCAUUGGGGGGAAAAUUAAGGCUUUUCUUUCUUUGUGGCAGUAUUUAAAAAAAUAUUUAGAGUAGAUGAAGUAGAAGUGAGGAGCAAACUGCUUAAGUCCAACUAUAACUUGACCUCAACUCAAAGGACAAGAGGGGGAAAAAGUUAACACUAUACUAAAAUUGUCAAGCAACUUCUAAAUUAGAUCAAUUGCCUUCAUAAUAAUCUUAGAACAAAAUGUUCUCUAAGAGCAGUUCUGAUAUGAAGAGCCAAAAAAUGGAAAACAUUCACUAUCAAUUUACUGCAGUCACCCAUAAACUAUUAUAAGAACAUUAUGUAUCGGGGUUCAAGCCAGCAAGCUAUUAAAGCAGACUGCUCUGGUGUCUUUUCAUUUUACUUUAAUGCUACUGAAGCAUUAAUAAGUCCUUGGGGGAAUUGUAGUUAUAUUGAAACAGUCUUAUCAUGUAAUCAAUUUUUCACAUAAUCUGAAUUUCUUAAGAUGAGCUCUAUUUCUUUUCUAUUCCUUGUUUGACCAAUGUCACUCCACCUUCACAAAUGCCAUCAUCAUUUUUUGUUUGUAUGGUCCAAGUCAUGCUUUCAUCUUGGAAAUAUAUCAAUUUAAAUAGUGCUAAUUGAUAUAGUUAAUGAGUGCCAAGACAUCGAGCACCCUUGACCCCAUUGCCACGUUAUGUGCUUCUGCUCAUGUAGAGAUCAAAGAACAAAUGAUGGAAAGAAUCAUCUUCAAAAAAAUAAGAAGAUGACACAUAUACACACCUUUCUUGGUUUGUUUGUUUGCUUAAAACUUUGAUUGAGGGCAUAAAUAAUCUUGCUAAAAUUACUUUCCUUUAUCGUCCCUGGUUAAUUUUAACUUGUAAAAAAUUUCUAACUUAAUUUUUUUUCUUAUUUAAAGGAUAGUAAUGAUAUUCUGUCAAAACAUGAUUAACCCAAUGUUAAUUCACUAUUCACUGUUUUCCCUUGGUGACAUAAAUUCCAGGCAACUGAGGCAUCUGUCAAUUUAUUGUACUAAUGGAAAAUAUUAGUGCAUAUAAACUUCCUACAAAAUAAGUAGUCUCAGUAACUUUCACGCAUACAAAUCAACAAUGAUUCAAUAUGUAAUUGAAACUGCAGGAGAAGAGAAAACUUUAGUCAGAAGAAGGUUUAAUUUUGUAAAGAGUCAUUGAAAUAUAAACCUCAGCAAACUAGAUAUUUCUUCCCAGUACAAAAUCAACCACAAUUUACUAGCAUUACCCAAAGGUAAAUAUUCAUAGAUUUUUUUGCGAUUAAUACAUUUAUGAGUACAUGCGUAUGUAUAUGCAUACCUGUGUGCAAAUAUACAAUCUAUCUCUAGGCUGUUAAGAUCCAUGAACCAUGCUUCUUUUAAUCACCACUGUUUCUCCAAAUUCCAGCACAACACUUAUAACACAGCAUUUUCUCAACAUAUAUUUGUGAAGAAACUAUAAGUAUAAUUUGAAUGCAGAGGUACACAGUUUAACAUCCUAAAAUCCUUAAUAUAAAAGAAAUCCUGGGAAAGCAUUAGAGAUAACAUAUUUCUCAAUAGGUAGUUCAAUUUAAAUCUCUCUGUGAUAGCUUAUUGUCUUUUUCUUGGCCUAAUGCAACAAAGCCUACCAUCUUAAGUAUUAAUUUAUAGCAUACACUUUUCUUGAAGAGAUUUAUGGACAAUUCAGUCCAAAAUUAUUUUAUCAAUCCUUUCAUAUAAUAUUGAAACUAUUUUUCUUUAGUUGUGCACAGACCAUAACUUAUUUUUGCCUCACACUGCUUAUUUUAAUUAGUAGAUCUAGAAUAUCCCUGUUUUAUGUUUCUUGUACAACUCACUUAUGUAAUUAGUCAUAUUCCAAUCAAACUUACAUUAAAAUAUUAAGCAAUGAUUUCCACCUGCAAAAGUGUAUAAGGCAUCUGAGACCCACUUGAGGCAUAUGGAAGUUCCCAGGCCCGGGCUCGAAUCAGAGCUGUAGCUGCCGGCUUACACCACAGCCAUAGCAAUGCAGUAUCUGAGCCGCAUCUGCAACCCACACUACAGCUCACUGCAAUGCUGAAUCCUUAACCCACUGAGUGAGGCCAGGGAUUGAACUCACAUCCUCACAGAUACGAGACAGAUUCUUUACCACUGAGCCACAAUGGGAACUCCCAAUAAGGUUUUCACUGAAAUGGUUCCUUUAGACUCUUAUAAAGUGAAAAUAAUUUCAUAUGUUUAUAAGUGAGUCCACACAGUAGUAAAGAGUUGGUUUGUUUUGUCUUAUUUUACCAGACUUCAUGACAAGAUGCUUAAGCCAAUGUUUUAAUAAGAAAUGUUUUUAUAUUCAAAAGAAAAGCAAAAAUUAAAGAGGCGAAAAAAGAAAAACAACAACAACACUGAGAGCCAUUCUUUGAUAAACAGACACUGAAUUUUAGAGAUACCUCUGAAAGUUAACACUAUAGACUCCUUAAGAGCAUUUUUUAGUUCACUGCAAUAUCUACAGUACCUAGGAAACUGUGUGAUUCACAGUAAAAUCUCUAUAAAUAUUUAUUGAAUUGAAUUGAUUUGCAUACAUAGUUUCUGACAAAAAUACAACAGACCAGGGCUAAAUGAGGCAAGCAGUUUUGAAACUAUAAAUGCUCUGUGCUACCUACCUUUCUGGGUAGUCUGAUUAGAUAAAAUCAUAAAAUAGGCUACACAAGAAUCAGGUGUUAAUCUAAUUUAAAGGAAGUCAACAAAGAGAAUAUCUCCAGAACAUUCUUUUUAGGACCAAAAAAGAACUUUAAAAUCUCUACCUGAAAUAUCAACAUUUUAUGAAAUUUUAUUAUAUCUUGAAUUUGCUUUGAAAUAAUUGGAUAUGGAUAUGGGUUUAUUGAAUAUUUAUUGAUAUUGAAGCUAUAAUGAACACAUAGGGAUUUAUUAUAUCAUACUGUCUUCUUUUGUAUAAAUUUGAGAUUUUCUAUAAAAUUUAAAAAAAUGGGAACACACACAUACAUUACAUAUUUUAUUAUUUUCAAGAUAAUAUUUUAAAAUUUUAGAGGCUUCUGACUUUUCUCUCCUACCUCAGCAAAAAAAUCUAUAUCUUAUAUAUAUAGAUAGCAAUAAUUAAUAAAAGGGACAAAAAUUUCUUCCAUAAUUUUAGAAAAGUGGGAGCCAAGAAAAGAGAUAACUCCCAAAUUGCAACAGUUUCUCUCACAAGAAAUAGUGGGUUUUUUGUGUUUGUUUGUUUUGUUUUGUUUUUUGGGGGGGCCACACCUAUAGCAUAUGGAGGUUCACUGGCUAGGGGUCCAAUCGGAGCUACAGCUGCUGGCCUAUGCCACAGCCACAGCAAUGCCAGAUCGGAGCUGCGUCUGCGAUAUCUCACAGCACUGCCGGAUCCUUAACCCACUGAGUGAGGCCAGUGAUCAAACCUGUGUCCUCCUGGUUACUAGUCAGAUUCGUUCCCGCUGAGCCAUGACUGGAACUCUGAAAUAGUUUUUUAAAAAAUUGAGUCAAUAAAAUCCUGAAACAAACAUGAUUAAUGGUUACCAGUAAUAGAAAAACAUUUUCUGAACAGUGUGAAAACCUUAAGAUGGGGAUAGGGUUAUUAGAAAAAAGACAGGACUACAAAGUCAUCUAAACUUCCUUAUCUGGGAAAGGCAAAUGGUCAAUGCCCAUGAUUUUGUUUUUCCUUAUUGGGAAGAAAGCCAGAAAGGGAAGACAAAACCCUGCUAGUUUCUCAAAACUAAUUACCUUUAGUAGUAAAUAAGUACUUAGCAGAAUGUAAACAAAAGAGAAAAAAAUAAAGAAUACAUAGUCCUUUGAGGAAAGAGGAGGCUAGAAAAGAAGAGCCAUGUAACAGUCACAAACACUGUCCCUACCUGUCAAUUCUGGACUGCCAUGGACUGAAUGUCUGUGUUUCCCCCAAACUCAUGUGUUAAAAUCCUAAUCCCUAAUAUGGUGAUAUCAGAAUGAGGGGCUUUGGAAGGUAAUUAGGUCAUGAGGUGGAACCCUUAUGAAUGGGAUGGAGCCAGAAAGUUAUGCAGCUAUUCCCUGCAGGUGAGGAUACAAUGAGAAGUCAGCUGCUUGCUACCUGGAAGGUGGUUCUUACCAGGCCCUGAGCAAGUUGACACCACAAUCUCAGAUUUCCAUCCUCCAGAAGUGUGAGAAAUAAAUUUCUGUAGUUGAUAAAUUACUCCAUUUAUGGUAUUUUUGCUAUAGCAGCCGAGCUAAGAUAUAGUCUAAUGUUGCAAUAGAGAAACUUAACAAUAUUUCACUCAUUUGUCCUCACUGCCUGAAAAAGGACGAGAAAGUAUGGUGGGGAGAACAGGUGAAUGGGAGAAUCUAAGCACCUGGGCUGACCAGCUGUCAAAGUACAAUUUUAGUUCUCAAACAAAAGAUCAGAAGAUACAUCAGUUAAGUUUGGAUUCAGGUAGGGUGGGAAGAGCACCAAGGAGUUUUUACUCACACAAUUUUCAAGCUACAGAUUAAGGAUUAUAUAGCAAAAUGUACAUUUCAUAUUAAAGGAAACAAUUACAUAAAAAUCAUACAAAUAAAUAUGUAGCAUGAAAAAAUAUGUAUUUGAAGAAUGCAUUCCAGAAGAAAACCUAACCCAAGAAACAAAUAAAAACCAACAAAAACAAGAAUAAUGCAAAUAUCCAAAUAGAAAAAUGGUAAAAGGAAAUAAAAGCAUGGCUCAUAGAAAAAAUAUAUAAAUGUCUAAGAAACAUAUUAAAAGAUGCCAAUCUUAUAUACACAUACCAUUUUCCCUUAUCAUAUUGAUAAACUUACUCAGGGUUGGAAGACCAUAUAAGAAACUGAUAUCAUACAUGGUGAGAGAGUAAAUACUUUGGAAGGCAACUAAGAAGUAACUCUCAAAUUUUAAAAUUUAUGGUAAAUUUCAAUCAGAAAUUCACAUCACAUAUAUAAGUUUGUUUAGACUCUACUUCCUAUACUCUUGUUCCCUGAUUUACCAAAAAAAGUUUGACAUCACAUAAAUUGGGGACAAGGAGGUAAAUCAGUUAUUUCUAAAAACAAAGAGAUACAAAAAUCAUUGAAGUGAAUCUCAGUUUUAAUCCAUGUUCUCUCAUUAAUUUGUCUUUUCAUUAGAAAUUCACCUCCCCUCUCUAGGACUGCUCCUUCACAUGUAAGAUUAAUUAUUCGAGAUUUUUAGAAUGUUCAGGGACUCUCCCGUCUCCCAAAUGCUAUUUAAAAAGAAGUCCCCUUUAUAACUUACCUACUCAUCAUCAGGAACAUUGUCAUGGUU